This 497-nucleotide ribosomal RNA is filed under the name uncultured bacterium. RNAcentral describes it as "partial 16S ribosomal RNA". It matches the Rfam family "Bacterial small subunit ribosomal RNA", at positions 28 to 507 of the family's 1533-position model. The record is from RNAcentral.
GAUGAACGCUGGCGGCGUGCCUAAUACAUGCAAGUCGAGCGAACAGACGAGGAGCUUGCUCCUCUGACGUUAGCGGCGAACGGGUGAGUAACACGUGGAUAACCUACCUAUAAGACUGGGAUAACUUCGGGAAACCGGAGCUAAUACCGGAUAAUAUAUUGAACCGCAUGGUUCAAUAGUGAAAGACGGUUUUGCUGUCACUUAUAGAUGGAUCCGCGCCGCAUUAGCUAGUUGGUAAGGUAACGGCUUACCAAGGCAACGAGGCGUAGCCGACCUGAGAGGGUGAUCGGCCACACUGGAACUGAGACACGGUCCAGACUCCUACGGGAGGCAGCAGUAGGGAAUCUUCCGCAAUGGGCGAAAGCCUGACGGAGCAACGCCGCGUGAGUGAUGAAGGUCUUCGGAUCGUAAAACUCUGUUAUUAGGGAAGAACAAAUGUGUAAGUAACUAUGCACGUCUUGACGGUACCUAAUCAGAAAGCCACGGCUAACUACGUG